RNAcentral lists this ribosomal RNA (888 nucleotides) under Bacillus subtilis. Its description in RNAcentral is "bacterial SSU rRNA". It matches the Rfam family "Bacterial small subunit ribosomal RNA", at positions 9 to 873 of the family's 1533-position model. Lineage: Bacteria; Bacillati; Bacillota; Bacilli; Caryophanales; Bacillaceae. The record is from RNAcentral.
UAGAGUUUGUUCAUGGCUCAGGACGAACGCUGGCGGCGUGCCUAAUACAUGCAAGUCGAGCGGACAGAUGGGAGCUUGCUCCCUGAUGUUAGCGGCGGACGGGUGAGUAACACGUGGGUAACCUGCCUGUAAGACUGGGAUAACUCCGGGAAACCGGGGCUAAUACCGGAUGGUUGUUUGAACCGCAUGGUUCAAACAUAAAAGGUGGCUUCGGCUACCACUUACAGAUGGACCCGCGGCGCAUUAGCUAGUUGGUGAGGUAAUGGCUCACCAAGGCAACGAUGCGUAGCCGACCUGAGAGGGUGAUCGGCCACACUGGGACUGAGACACGGCCCAGACUCCUACGGGAGGCAGCAGUAGGGAAUCUUCCGCAAUGGACGAAAGUCUGACGGAGCAACGCCGCGUGAGUGAUGAAGGUUUUCGGAUCGUAAAGCUCUGUUGUUAGGGAAGAACAAGUGCCGUUCGAAUAGGGCGGCACCUUGACGGUACCUAACCAGAAAGCCACGGCUAACUACGUGCCAGCAGCCGCGGUAAUACGUAGGUGGCAAGCGUUGUCCGGAAUUAUUGGGCGUAAAGGGCUCGCAGGCGGUUUCUUAAGUCUGAUGUGAAAGCCCCCGGCUCAACCGGGGAGGGUCAUUGGAAACUGGGGAACUUGAGUGCAGAAGAGGAGAGUGGAAUUCCACGUGUAGCGGUGAAAUGCGUAGAGAUGUGGAGGAACACCAGUGGCGAAGGCGACUCUCUGGUCUGUAACUGACGCUGAGGAGCGAAAGCGUGGGGAGCGAACAGGAUUAGAUACCCUGGUAGUCCACGCCGUAAACGAUGAGUGCUAAGUGUUAGGGGGUUUCCGCCCCUUAGUGCUGCAGCUAACGCAUUAAGCACUCCGCCUGG